This 587-nucleotide ribosomal RNA is filed under the name uncultured Actinomycetes bacterium. RNAcentral describes it as "bacterial SSU rRNA". It matches the Rfam family "Bacterial small subunit ribosomal RNA", at positions 338 to 916 of the family's 1533-position model. The record is from RNAcentral. Lineage: Bacteria; Bacillati; Actinomycetota; Actinomycetes.
CCUACGGGAGGCAGCAGUGGGGAAUCUUGGACAAUGGGGGAAACCCUGAUCCAGCAAUGCCGCGUGUGGGAUGAAGGCCCUCGGGUUGUAAACCACUUUUGGCAGGAAAGAAAUCGCCUGUGCUAAUACCACGGGCGGAUGACGGUACCUGCAGAAUAAGCACCGGCUAACUAUGUGCCAGCAGCCGCGGUAAUACAUAGGGUGCAAGCGUUGUCCGGAAUUAUUGGGCGUAAAGAGCUCGUAGGUCGUUUGUCGCGUCGAUUGUGAAAAUCUGAGGCUCAACCUCAGACCUGCAGUCGAUACGGGCAAACUAGAGUGUGGUAGGGGAGACUGGAAUUCCUGGUGUAGCGGUGGAAUGCGCAGAUAUCAGGAGGAACACCAAUGGCGAAGGCAGGUCUCUGGGCCAUAACUGACACUGAGGAGCGAAAGUGCGGGGAGCGAACAGGAUUAGAUACCCUGGUAGUCCGCACCGUAAACGGUGGGCACUAGUUGUGGGAACCUUCCACGGUUUCCGCGACGCAGCAAACGCAUUAAGUGCCCCGCCUGGGGAGUACGAUCGCAAGAUUAAAACUCAAAGGAAUUGACGG